GUACUCUGUUUCAGGGGUGGCCCGAGGAAGAAACACUGGACCUCAGUAGCGUAAAGGGAAAAAGAUGGAAUUGGUAUGAAGAGUACCUUUACAGCCAGGGACUGGAUGGCCUGAAAGUCUUCAUUGAAAGCAGUAUUAGACGUAGAACCUAAAGAUAACUUCAUCUGUGCUGCACAAAAACAUGUACAAAACAAUGUGCUUUUUAGCAAAGGCUUGGACUAUUGCACAGUAUACAGUAUACUUCCAUCUCACAGACAUAUUUAAUUCACACUGAAAUGUGAAAACUCUGCAACUACAAUUUUUUAUGAUUGCAAAGUGUGUUUUAAAGUUGAAAAAUAAUGUUUUUGUGAAGCUGCAUAACUGAGAAAUACCCAUGGAAUUAAAGGCUGUGCAGGAUCUUUU
Protopterus annectens (West African lungfish) is the source of this 402-nucleotide long non-coding RNA. RefSeq lists it as uncharacterized. Lineage: Eukaryota; Metazoa; Chordata; Ceratodontiformes; Protopteridae. The transcript has 2 exons. The record is from RefSeq and is a predicted model, not a curated record.